RNAcentral lists this transfer RNA (74 nucleotides) under Anaerolineales bacterium. Its description in RNAcentral is "tRNA-Gly". It matches the Rfam family "tRNA". From Rfam's summary of the family: Transfer RNA (tRNA) molecules are approximately 80 nucleotides in length. Their secondary structure includes four short double-helical elements and three loops (D, anti-codon, and T loops). Further hydrogen bonds mediate the characteristic L-shaped molecular structure. tRNAs have two regions of fundamental functional importance: the anti-codon, which is responsible for specific mRNA codon recognition, and the 3' end, to which the tRNAs corresponding amino acid is attached (by aminoacyl-tRNA synthetases). tRNAs cope with the degeneracy of the genetic code in two manners: having more than one tRNA (with a specific anti-codon) for a particular amino acid; and 'wobble' base-pairing, i.e. permitting non-standard base-pairing at the 3rd anti-codon position. The record is from RNAcentral. Lineage: Bacteria; Bacillati; Chloroflexota; Anaerolineae; Anaerolineales.
GCGGGUGUAGUUCAGUGGUAGAACACGUGCUUCCCAAGCACGAUACGCGGGUUCGAUUCCCGCUACCCGCUCCA